RNAcentral lists this ribosomal RNA (663 nucleotides) under Triticum aestivum (bread wheat). Its description in RNAcentral is "partial small subunit ribosomal RNA". Lineage: Eukaryota; Viridiplantae; Streptophyta; Magnoliopsida; Poales; Poaceae. The record is from RNAcentral.
AUGUUCUCGGGAGACUACGAUUGGGAGGAGAUGAAGACCCGGGUGUGGGGGAGCCACGCCCCGGCAACCACGUCCCAUGCGACGUUGGUCAAGCCCGUGCAAGUUCGCACGACAAAGGCGUACCCGACAUCCUCGGGACCCGACAAGCCCGUGUCAGGAGGCACGACAACGACGCAUCUAGUGGGCCACGUCCCGACCAUGAUGCUGGCAACCAGUGAGCCCGUGCAAGAGGCACGACACUCUAAGGUCGGCCACACCCCGACAACCAGGUUCUCGGGGUUCUGCAAGCCCAUGUGGGCGACACGGCACUCUUCGACAAGCCUCAACUGGGAGGCAAUGAAGAGACGGUCAUGGGGCGGCAAGGCCUCGACCGAGACUAUGGCGACCAUUAAGUCCAUGCAGGAGGCACAACGCUCUAUGGUUGGCCACGCCGCAACCCAGACGCGCUCGGGGUCCAUCGAGUCCGUGCGGGAGGCACGACUCACAACUAUUAGGGGAGACCCAACAAGCAAGUCUGAUGGGAAGAGCGACAAGGAAUCCACUACCUUGGGAGAAGCCACACCGGGUAGUGCGAUGUCCGAUAAGUCAUCCCCGGGAAGGGAGUUCCCGGGUAUCAUGACGUCUGACACGUCGACCCAGGAAGGGAGUUCCUCGGUAGUGUGA